RNAcentral lists this ribosomal RNA (157 nucleotides) under Marinitoga hydrogenitolerans DSM 16785. RNAcentral's name for it is "23S rRNA. Bacterial LSU". It matches the Rfam family "Bacterial large subunit ribosomal RNA", at positions 2766 to 2925 of the family's 2925-position model. The record is from RNAcentral. Lineage: Bacteria; Thermotogati; Thermotogota; Thermotogae; Petrotogales; Petrotogaceae.
AACCGCUGAAAGCAUCUAAGCGGGAAACGGGCCCCGAGAUGAGGUUUCCCACUCUUCGGAGUUAAGGGCAGUUCGAGACUAGGACGUAGAUAGGCCGGAGGUGUAAGUACAGUGAUGUAUUGAGCCGACCGGUACUAAUAGCCCGAGGCCUUGACCU